This 253-nucleotide ribosomal RNA is filed under the name uncultured bacterium. RNAcentral's name for it is "partial 16S ribosomal RNA". It matches the Rfam family "Bacterial small subunit ribosomal RNA", at positions 524 to 776 of the family's 1533-position model. The record is from RNAcentral.
UACGGAGGGGGCAAGCGUUAUCCGGAUUCACUGGGUUUAAAGGGUGCGUAGGCGGGCAGGAAAGUCAGUGGUGAAAUCUCCGAGCUUAACUCGGAAACUGCCGUUGAUACUAUUUGUCUUGAAUAUUGUGGAGGUAAGCGGAAUAUGUCAUGUAGCGGUGAAAUGCUUAGAUAUGACAUAGAACACCAAUUGCGAAGGCAGCUUACUACACAACGAUUGACGCUGAGGCACGAAAGCGUGGGGAUCAAACAGG